GAAGAAAAUAAGAUUCAAAAUCGAUUGCACAAUAAGAUUCAAAAUCGAUUUCUCUUUGUCAGCCACAAAGCCACAGACACAAAGAAACAAUGGCGGCUUUAAAUGCGGAGAAUGAAUACAUGGAAAUGGAUGUGGAGACUGAUGCUGAAGGAGCAAGUGAAUCGCAACCUAAUGCUACGGACCAUACGUGACAUUGAAGACAACUUUGAUGAUGGAGUUGAAGGUACUACAUCUGUGGCUAGUAGCUCAGGAGUAUGAGACCAAGAUUCCGAUAAGGUUUUGGAAGAAAGGAAGAAUGAGAAAAAAAAAUUGUUGUUGUUUUUG
Molecule: long non-coding RNA, 324 nt
Organism: Camelina sativa (false flax)
Lineage: Eukaryota; Viridiplantae; Streptophyta; Magnoliopsida; Brassicales; Brassicaceae
Source: RefSeq, a predicted model, not a curated record